UGUCCCAUGGUGUAAUGGCAGCACUCCUGAUUUUGGUUCAGUCAGUCUAGGUUCGAAUCCUGGUGGGACAA
RNAcentral lists this transfer RNA (71 nucleotides) under Bacteroidales bacterium. Its description in RNAcentral is "tRNA-Gln". It matches the Rfam family "tRNA". Rfam says of the family: Transfer RNA (tRNA) molecules are approximately 80 nucleotides in length. Their secondary structure includes four short double-helical elements and three loops (D, anti-codon, and T loops). Lineage: Bacteria; Pseudomonadati; Bacteroidota; Bacteroidia; Bacteroidales. The record is from RNAcentral.